UGAACGCUAGCGGCAGGCCUAACACAUGCAAGUCGAGCGGUAGGGACCUUCGGGUCCUGAGAGCGGCGCACGGGUGCGUAACGCGUAUGCAACCUGCCCUGUACAGGGGAAUAGCCCGUCGAAAGGCGGAUUAAUGCCCCAUAGCCCUUGGGGGUGGCAUCGCCACCAAGGUAAAGAUUUAUCGGUACAGGAUGGGCAUGCGUGCCAUUAGCUGGACGGUGGGGUAACGGCCCACCGUGGCGACGAUGGCUAGGGGCUCUGAGAGGAAGGCCCCCCCACACUGGGACUGAGACACGGCCCAGACUCCUACGGGAGGCAGCAGUGAGGAAUAUUGGUCAAUGGGCGGAAGCCUGAACCAGCCAUGCCGCGUGCGGGAAGAAGGCGCUACGCGUCGUAAACCGCUUUUGUCCGGGGGUAACCGCGGGGACGUGUCCCCGCCUGCAAGUACCGGACGAAUAAGGGUCGGCUAACUCCGUGCCAGUAGCCGCGGUAAUCUGAUGGCGCGAGG
RNAcentral lists this ribosomal RNA (508 nucleotides) under uncultured Bacteroidota bacterium. RNAcentral's name for it is "bacterial SSU rRNA". It matches the Rfam family "Bacterial small subunit ribosomal RNA", at positions 30 to 539 of the family's 1533-position model. The record is from RNAcentral. Lineage: Bacteria; Pseudomonadati; Bacteroidota.